Molecule: ribosomal RNA, 468 nt
Filed under: uncultured bacterium
Lineage: Bacteria
Description: partial 16S ribosomal RNA
Rfam family: Bacterial small subunit ribosomal RNA
Source: RNAcentral
GACGAACGCUGGCGGCGUGCUUAACACAUGCAAGUCGAACGGAAAGGCCCUGCUUUUGUGGGGUGCUCGAGUGGCGAACGGGUGAGUAACACGUGAGUAACCUGCCCUUGACUUUGGGAUAACUUCAGGAAACUGGGGCUAAUACCGGAUAGGAGCUCCUGCUGCAUGGUGGGGGUUGGAAAGUUUCGGCGGUUGGGGAUGGACUCGCGGCUUAUCAGCUUGUUGGUGGGGUAGUGGCUUACCAAGGCUUUGACGGGUAGCCGGCCUGAGAGGGUGACCGGCGACAUUGGGACGGAGAGAAGGCCCAGACGCCGACGGGAGGCAGCAGGGGGGAAUAUGGCACAAUGGGCGGAAGCCUGAUGCAGCAACGCCGCGUGCGGUAGGACGGCCGUCGGGGUGUAAACCGCUUGCGCCUGUGACGAAGCGUGAGUGACGGUAAUGGGUAAAGAAGCACCGGCUAACUACGUG